UCCUUCGGGUGAGAAGAUUAUAUCGUGGGAUAUCCCUUUGAUGAUGAAUUGUCUAUAAACCCUUCCCGCCAUUCGCAACGCCCUCGAGACUGAGACGGACAAUGGAGGAGAACGCCUGUAAAGAAAUUCAAAUCCGAACCCUUUCGGGCGAAUCCAUCGCUCUUCGCUUCCCUUCCAGCAGCACCGUUCGAGAACUCAAGCUUCUACUCAACCAAUCCUUCCCUCCUGCCACUCACUUCCCCAAUUUCCACCUUUUCUUCAAGGGUGACAAAUUGAGAUUGCAGAGUCAAAUUGGCUGUUACCCCAUCGAGACCGGUGACUUCCUUGUUUUAGUUCCGUUUACCAAGAAACCAAACCAAUGUGAUGCUUCUGCAACUCCCUCCAAUGUUGCUGAUACAGCUUCAAUUUCAAAUCUUGCUGAUUCUACCUGGUCCAAUAUAAUGGAGGAUAUAUCAUAUUUACGUGAGACUCAGAGCGACGCUAAAAAUGACGAUGAAGCAUCUCAUUUAAAGUUCAACAGUUUUACUGAUGAACGUAGGAAAAAGAAGAUGGCGGAGACCCCUAGUUCUAAUUGCACCGAGUCAAAAUCCAAGUGGGAUUUUGGUUCUGAUAAGCAGAUAGAGCUUCCUUAUCACCUUAUAUUGAAUACACUGCAGUAUACUAGUGAGACUGAGGAUGCUCUUGGAGAACGCAAUUGUGAAGUCCUUGCCAAGGUUUUGGCUUCGAUAACUUGUUUAUCAGAUCUGCCUCUUGGGCAUUGCAAGUUAUUUAAGAGAGCCCGUCUGAAGGGAGUGGAUUUGGGGUCUUACGUGAAUAAUGAUAUUUCAUGCUUGUGUCCCCAAUGGUUGAAGAUGGUGAUGAAGGCGUUUACUUUCAUAAAUAUUUUUUCUGCGUGGCUUCAUUUACUGGGUAAGAAAACAACUUCAAAUCUAUUGGAAAAUGCACUGAAUCAGCUUGGAAAAUUUGGAGUUAAACUUAAUAUUCAGGAUAUGAAGCGUCUUUCCCUUCUUUGUCCCGAGCUAAUAUGUUUUACGGAUGAUAUCGAAAAGACAAGUUAUGAUGAUGUCAUGAUCAUCAUUGAACAUUCAACAAGAGAUGAAGUUAACAAAAAGGAUACACCAAAAAGAGGUCGCAAGUUGUUGCUUGUUUCAAAGAUUGCCAGUGCAUUGAAGAGAAGGGAAAGUUUCUUUCAAAACAAUCUGUGGCUGGCAUUUUCAGGGCUGCUGAGUGCUUGUGGAGAUGAGAUGGCCUUGAAAAUUUCCUUGGAAGAUUUGAUUGCAUCCAUCAAGGACCAAUGUUCUACUCAAAAUGAAAGAACAGCAAGACCCAUAAAGAGAAGCUUGAAUAAUUCAAAAUGUGAUUCAGAUUGUGUGAAGUGUCAUGAAACAUCAUCUUUGCUUCCCAUGGAAGUGGUUGAACAUCUUCAAAAAGGAAUUGGAUCUGAAGGACAGAUUGUGCACAUUGAAGACAUUUCCGCCAGGAAAGCAAUUUAUGCAGAACUUGAAUUAUCAGAAAACCUGAAAUCUGCACUACGUCAAAUGGGAAUUUCCAAAUUGUAUAGCCAUCAGGCAGAGUCUAUAAAAGCAUCCUUUUCCGGGAAGAAUGUUGUCGUGUCAACUAUGACAUCCAGUGGCAAAUCACUAUGUUAUAACUUGCCAGUCUUGGAAUGGCUGUCAAAGAAUCAAUCAUCAUGUGCUCUGUACAUAUUCCCAACAAAGGCAUUGGCUCAAGAUCAAUUAAGAGCUUUGCUACAUAUGACAAAAGUAUUGGAUGUUGACUUCAAUAUUGGUAUAUAUGAUGGAGAUACUUCUCAGAAUGAGAGGACAUGGCUACUUGAUAAUUCUAGGCUGUUGAUCACAAAUCCAGAUAUGUUGCACAUAUCCAUCUUGCCUCAUCAUCAGAGAUUUUGUCGGAUUUUAUCAAAUCUCAGGUUUGUAGUAAUAGACGAGACUCAUACUUACAAGGGAGCAUUUGGAUGUCAUACUGCUUUUAUAUUAAGGAGGCUGAAGCGACUCUGUUCACAUGUAUAUGGAACUGUUCCAUCUUUUGUUUUUUCUACUGCAACCUCUGCAAAUCCUCGUGAGCACUGUAUGGAACUUGCAAAUUUAUCAACAGUGGAGCUGGUUAGGAAUGAUGGCAGUCCAUCUGCGAGGAAGCUUUUUAUCCUUUGGAAUCCCAUUCUGCGCCCAAAACCUUUCUUGAAAAGAGCUAAGUUUGUUAUGGCUGUUGAUGAAGUUGCUGAUGAAAGUGCUACUUUUGUUCGUUCAAGUUCAAUUGUGGAUGUUUCACGACUUUUCGCGGAAAUGGUUCAGCAUGGUCUUCGUUGCAUAACAUUUUGCAGAUCACGGAAACUUUGUGAACUUGUUCUAUCCUAUGCACAGGAGAUCCUCCAUGAGACAGCCCCACAUCUGGUAAAUUUGAUAUGCGCAUAUCGUGGAGGCUACAUUGCAGAGGAUAGGAGAAAAAUAGAGAGUGGAUUUUUUGGGGGUAAAAUUUGCGGUGUUGUUGCAACCAAUGCUCUUGAGUUGGGCAUUGAUGUCGGAGAAAUUGAUGUGACCCUGCAUUUAGGAUUUCCUGGUAGUAUUGCUAGCUUGUGGCAACAGGCUGGCAGGGCUGGAAGGAGAGAUAAACCAUCUCUUGCUGUGUAUGUUGCAUUUGGAGAUCCCCUUGAUCAAUACUUUAUGAAGCAUCCAGAAAAACUGUUUGGUAGACCAAUUGAAUGCUGCUAUGUUGAUGCCCAAAACAAGCAGGUUCUGGAACAGCAUUUGGUCUGUGCAGCUCACGAACACCCUUUGAGUGUGCCUUAUGAUGAACAGUAUUUUGGUUUUUGCUUAGAGAGUUCUUUAGUUUCUUUAAAAGCUGGAGGAUACUUGAGUUACGAGCAAUCAUCAGAUUCUUCUACUAGAAUAUGGAAUUACAUUGGUCCUCAGAAAUUGCCUUCACAUGCUGUCAACAUCAGAGCAAUAGAAACCAUAAGAUAUGAGGUCGUGGAUCAGCAGAGGAAAAAAGUCCUUGAAGAGAUAGAGGAGAGCAAGGCUUUUUUUCAGAUUUAUGAAGGGGCUGUGUACCUGUGCCAAGGUAAAACCUAUUUGGUCGAGAAAUUGGACCUAUCCAACAAGGUUGCUUUCUGCAAAGAGGCUGAUUUGAAGUAUUAUACUAAGACUCGAGAUUACACUGACAUUCAUGUCAUUGGGGGUAAUAUAGCUUAUCCAGUAAAGAUUUCGACUGAUGUGUUUCCAAAAACAAAUGCUCGUGCUGAUUUGUGCAAAGUAACAACUACUUGGUUUGGUUUUUAUCGUAUUUGGAGAGGAAGCAAUCAAAUAUUUGAUUCUGUUGACCUAUCACUUCCUCAAUAUUCAUACGAGUCACAGGCGGUUUGGAUUCCUGUGCCACAAUCAAUAAAAGAAGCAGUAGUCAAGCAAACCUAUGAUUUUCGUGGAGGUCUGCAUGCUGCAUCACAUGCAGUUUUAAAUGUACAUAACAUGCAACUUGUCUGACUUGGCUCCAGAGUGUCCGAAUCCUCAUGAUCGCCGUUAUCAACCAGAGAGAAUUCUAAUAUAUGAUCAACAUCCUGGAGGAUCUGGUUUAUCGUUACAGGUAAUUGACAUUAAACUUUAGUCUAAUGAUGGAGUUUGUAUUUUGCUUCUUUUAUCUUUUUCCAAACAUUUUUCUUAAUUCUUUUUUGUUAUGGUGGUUUUGGCCUUUGGAUGAUAAUUUGAUGUUUUAAAUAGGAUCUGAAUCAGCAAGUAAAUGCGUAGCGUGAUACGUUUAGAAAGAGAGAGAGAGAGAAUAGGUAGUCGAUGGAAAGAAAGGAUGUGGACCCCACACAUGCCUCUAUUUUGUUGCCACUCAAAUUAAUGCAGGGUGCAUUACUGUGGAAGACUGCAUGUAUUUUUAACGAUCUUCCUAUGUGCCAUUUAGGGACGUCCUUUCUAGUUUGUGUCAAUAUGAUGAAAUGUUUGAUAGGUCCAACGUUGUUUCCCGAAGUUGUUGGCAGCUGCACUAGAGCUUCUUUCAUCUUGCCAUUGCUCAGUGGAAGUGGGUUGUCCUGACUGUGCUCAGGUUUAUCGCAAAACUUUUCUUUAAUUCUGUCUUUCCUGCUUAUUCUGGUUGAAAUACUAGGCUAGUUUUGAUUAAGAAGAAAAAUAGUAGGCUGUGAAAUAUAUCAAACUAAAUUUACCAAGCUUCACAAGCAAAUUUUAUAUAAAUUUUUUGGCAUGUUAUAGAGCUUUGCUUGCCAAGAGUAUAAUGAAGUUUUACACAAGGAUGCAGCCAUUAUGAUCAUCAAGGGUGUUCUGGAUACAGAAUAGUAUUCGGAGGACUUCACCGGUUCUUCUGAAGUCUGUAUAAAGAAGUCCCGUUGGGUUGCGAUGAUAUAUUGGCUGAGUAUCUAAAUGGGUUCUCAAGCUCGUCCCAGUGUUUUUUUUUUUGUUUUUUGUUUUUUUGGGGGGGGGGGGGGGGGGCAUGCAAUUUAGUAGUUGUGUGCUAAAGUGAACAUUGUUUCAUUUCCUACUGCACCAAACUUAGCAUGAUCCUGUCAACCUUGAGAAUGAAAUGCAAACCCAACAUAUACCCUCCUUUUUUUCUCAUCACAAAAGAGAGAGGAUAAACGGUUUUCAGCUAGAAAUGUGCCUAAAUAAACUCGCUUCUCAGAAGCUUGCUGC
Molecule: RNA transcript, 4664 nt
Organism: Prosopis cineraria
Lineage: Eukaryota; Viridiplantae; Streptophyta; Magnoliopsida; Fabales; Fabaceae
Exons: 25
Source: RefSeq, a predicted model, not a curated record